CGAGAAAGCCCGCAAGGGUGAGUAAAGCGGCGCACGGGUGCGUAACACGUGGGUAAUCUGCCUUGGAGUCCGGAAUAACUCGCCGAAAGGCGUGCUAAUGCCGGAUAAGACCACGGGAGCUUCGGCUCCUGCGGGAAAAGGUGGCCUCUGUAUACAAGCUAUCGUUCCAGGAUGAGCCCGCGGCCCAUCAGCUCGUUGGCGGGGUAAUGGCCCACCAAGGCUACGACGGGUAGCUGGUCUGAGAGGACGAUCAGCCACACUGGAACUGAGACACGGUCCAGACUCCUACGGGAGGCAGCAGUGGGGAAUCUUGCGCAAUGGGCGAAAGCCUGACGCAGCAACGCCGCGUGUGUGAUGAAGGUCUUCGGAUCGUAAAGCACUGUCGCGAGGGACG
Molecule: ribosomal RNA, 394 nt
Filed under: uncultured Anaeromyxobacter sp.
Lineage: Bacteria; Pseudomonadati; Myxococcota; Myxococcia; Myxococcales; Anaeromyxobacteraceae
Description: bacterial SSU rRNA
Rfam family: Bacterial small subunit ribosomal RNA
Source: RNAcentral